AAGUCGUAACAAGGUUUCCGUAGGUGAACCUGCGGAAGGAUCAUUAACACGUAUCCAAACGUUAAAACCCCCCCCGUGAACCUUCAUCCUGCUCUUGUAACCCGCGUAGUUCGCAAUCUCUGAUAAAUCAUAGCCCGGAAAGUUGUAGUGAUUCAGAGACCUCUGGCUACGUGCGAACAUUGGAACAGUUACAAUCGAGCGGUAGUUCUAUAGGCAAUGUUUCUCCAAGCAGUCAGUGUCGGAAAGUCCUAAUAACCCCACAGUUUAAUGUGAAGCUCAAUGUAAUACAUUGGGUAAAAAAACCGAACAACUGUUAACAAUGGAUAUCUUGGUUCUC
Molecule: unclassified non-coding RNA, 337 nt
Filed under: fungal sp.
Lineage: Eukaryota; Fungi
Description: partial internal transcribed spacer region
Rfam family: Eukaryotic small subunit ribosomal RNA (bases 1-46)
Source: RNAcentral